This 537-nucleotide long non-coding RNA is filed under the name Phaseolus vulgaris (common bean). Its description in RNAcentral is "long non-coding RNA (PVUL_LNC001225)". Lineage: Eukaryota; Viridiplantae; Streptophyta; Magnoliopsida; Fabales; Fabaceae. The record is from RNAcentral.
AAGCUUUUGUCCUUUUGCAGUGCAAUGUAUGUGUGAUGAUGUAUCUUCUUCCUGGCGUUAACUAUGAGAGUAUAAGACUGUGUCUCAGUGUAAUGUUACCAAUGUAUCUCCACAGAGUUUCGUUUAAACUCUCUAGAAAUUUGGGAUCUUUCUUCAAAUUGGAAUGCCAGAUCUUAAGACGGAAGGUAUGUGCCAUCAUAUCUCCCUCUCAACCACUAUUAUUCGUUUCCUUCUUCUAAAAUAGUAAUCAAUGUACCCUUUCUUUCCUCAUCAAAAUUAUGAUAAAUAUUCCAUAUUAUGUUAUAUGUCUGUUGUAAUGGUCAUUUUGCUUAAUUGUUCUUGCUAUUAAUUUAUUUUUCGUAGAAUCUCUUCCUUUUAGAGUUAGUUAAACUGAACAGUGAAAAAUUAAUAAAUGUUUAUAUAGAAUUGAACAUUUAUUUUGAUGUGUUUAUUAGUUAGAACUUGAUAUAUAUACUCCCUUCUUUCUUCUUUACAAGUCAUCACAUCACAUCCUUAAAGUUUUAUUUAUUAAUCCAG